RNAcentral lists this small RNA (85 nucleotides) under Enterococcus faecalis. Its description in RNAcentral is "RNA anti-toxin A". It matches the Rfam family "RNA anti-toxin A". Lineage: Bacteria; Bacillati; Bacillota; Bacilli; Lactobacillales; Enterococcaceae. The record is from RNAcentral.
UAAUAAAAACGAAAAGAGAGAUAUGCGUCAACAUACCUCUCUGAUGUAGAGCCGUUUAAGACGGUGACCAUGUUAAUUAUUUAAA